AGGUCAAGUUACAAAGAGCGCAGGGCGAAUGCCUUGGCACCAUGAGCCGAAGAAGGACGUGAUAAGCUGCGAAAAGCUACGUGUAGGUGCAAAUAACCAUUAAAGCGUAGAUAUCCGAAUGGGGAAACCUAAUCAGGGUAAAUUCCUGAUUACUCCUAGAUGAAUACAUAGUCUAGGUAGAGGGAACGGGGGGAAUUGAAACAUCUUAGUACCCCUAGGAAAAGAAAUCAACCGAGAUUCCGUAAGUAGUGGCGAGCGAAAGCGGAAGAGGCCAAACCGAUUUACUUCGGUAAAUCGGGGUUCGGACUGAAUAAUCUAGAACAAGAGUUAGCAGAAUGAGCGGAUGGAAAGCCGAGACCAUAGAACGUAAUAGUCGUGUAAGCGAAAACUCAAGUUCAGAGUCAGUAUCCAGAGUAAUGUAGGACACGAGGAAUCCUGCAGGAAGACGGGGGGACCACCCUCCAAGCCUAAAUACUCCAUGGUGACCGAUAGUGAAUAGUACAGUGAUGGAAAGGUGAAAAGAACCCCGGGAGGGGAGUGAAAGAGAACCUGAAACCCUGUGUUUACAAGCAGUCGGAGCACGUUAAUGUGCAACGGCGUACUUUUUGUAGAACGGUCCGACGAGUUACGAUUACUAGCAAGGUUAAGUAGUAGAGCUAUGAAGCCGAAGGGAAACCGAGUAUGAAUAGUGCGAGUAGUUAGUAGUUGUAGACCCGAAACCAGGCGACCUAUCCAUGAGCAGCGUGAAGGUAAGGUAAAGCUUACUGGAGGCGCGAACCCGUAUCUGUUGAAAAAGGUUGGGAUGACUUGUGGAUAGCGGAGAAAUUCCAAUCGAGCUUGGAUAUAGCUGGUUCUCCCCGAAAUAGCUUUAGGGCUAGCCUUAUUAUAGAGUUUAUAGGGGGUAGAGCACUGAAUGGCAAAGGGCCCUUCCCAGGGUACCAAUGCUUAUCAAACUCCGAAUACCUAUAAAUAUGAAUAGGAGUGAGACUAUGACAGAUAAGUGCCGUAGUCGAGAGGGAAACAACCCAGACCGUCAGCUAAGGUCCCAAAGUUACAGUUAAGUGGGAAAGGAUGUGGAUUUGCUAAGACAGCUAGGAUGUUGGCUUAGAAGCAGCAACUCAUUUAAAGAGUGCGUAAUAGCUCACUAGUCGAGUGAGUCUGCGCCGAAAAUUUAACGGGGCUAAACUGUACACCGAAGCUACGGAUCGAAAGAUGGUAGGGGAGCGUUCUGUAGGCCGUUGAAGCAUGAUCGAAAGGACAUGUGGAGGUAUCAGAAGUGAGAAUGUCGGAAUAAGUAGCGAGAGCAAAGUGAGAAUCUUUGCCGUCGAAAAUCUAAGGUUUCCUGGGCAAGGCUCGUCCUCCCAGGGUAAGUCGGGACCUAAGGCGAGGCCAAGAGGCGUAGUCGAUGGACAGCAGGUUUAAAUUCCUGCACUGCAAUGUUGCGUUAUUAGAGACGCAGGGACACGGAAGGAUAAGAUCGCAGACAGCUGGAAUAGUCUGUGGAAAGCACGAAACGAAGGACUUAGUAAAGUACGGGUCCUAAUAGGAGAGUGCCGAAGGAGGGAAAAUAAGUACCGAAGGAUCUGAAUUCAACUGGCGAGAAAAGCUGCUAUCAAGUAACAGUGCACCCGUACCGCAAACCGACACAGGUAGAUGAGGAGAGAAUCCUAAGACGAUCGGGAGAAUCAUCGUUAAGGAACUAGGCAAAUUAACCCCGUAAGUUAGCGAUAAGGGGAGCCAGCUAGCGCUGGCCGCAGAGAAAUGGCCCGAGCAACUGUUUAGCAAAAACACAGGUCUCCGCAAACACGAAAGUGGAAGUAUGGGGGCUGACGCCUGCCCGGUGCUGGAAGGUCAAGGGGAAGUGUUAGAGAAUACUCGAAGCACAGAACUUAAGCCCCAGUGAACGGCGGCCGUAACUAUAACGGUCCUAAGGUAGCGAAAUUCCUUGUCAGGUAAGUUCUGACCCGCAUGAAUGGCGUAAUGAUUUGGGCACUGUCUCAACGAUGCACCCGGUGAAAUUGUAGUACUUGUGAAGAUGCAAGUUACCCGCGACUAGACGGAAAGACCCCAUGGAGCUUUACUGUAGAUUGCUACUGGGACUCGAUAUCGUAUGUACAGAAUAGGUGGGAGACAAUGAAGUGUUGGCGUCAGUUGACAUGGAGUCACAAUGUGGAAUACCACUCUUACGAUGUUGGGUUUCUAACGAUAUCCCGUGAUCCGGGAGUCGGACAAUGGCAGUCGGGCAGUUUGACUGGGGCGGUCGCCUCCUAAAGAGUAACGGAGGCGUUCAAAGCUUACCUCAGUACGGUUGGAAAUCGUACAAAGAGCAUAAAGGUAUAAGGUAGGUUAACUGCGAGACGUACAGGUCGAGCAGAUACGAAAGUAGGACUUAGUGAUCCCGCGGUAGAAUGUGGAAUUGCCGUGGCUCAACGGAUAAAAGUUACCCUGGGGAUAACAGGCUUAUCUCCCCCAAGAGUUCACAUCGACGGGGAGGUUUGGCACCUCGAUGUCGGCUCGUCACAUCCUGGGGCGGAAGCCCGUCCCAAGGGUUCGGCUGUUCGCCGAUUAAAGUGGCACGCGAGCUGGGUUCAGAACGUCGUGAGACAGUUCGGUCCCUAUCUGUCGUGGGCGUAGGAAAUUUGAGAGGAGCUGUCCCUAGUACGAGAGGACCGGGAUGGACGGACCAAUGGUGUACCAGUUGUAUUGCCAAAUGCAUAGCUGGGUAGCUAAGUCCGGACGGGAUAAACGCUGAAAGCAUCUAAGUGUGAAGCCUCCCUCAAGAUGAGAUUUCCCAUCCCAAGUGGAUUAAGACCCCUUGUAGACUACAAGGUAGAUAGGUCAAGAGUGGAAGUGCAGUAAUGUAUGAAGCGGAUUGAUACUAAUAGGUCGAGGACUUGACCACA
This 2903-nucleotide ribosomal RNA is filed under the name Fastidiosipila sanguinis. RNAcentral's name for it is "bacterial LSU rRNA". It matches the Rfam family "Bacterial large subunit ribosomal RNA". Lineage: Bacteria; Bacillati; Bacillota; Clostridia; Eubacteriales; Oscillospiraceae. The record is from RNAcentral.